Caenorhabditis brenneri is the source of this 72-nucleotide non-coding RNA. The record is from the annotation of a GenBank genome assembly. Lineage: Eukaryota; Metazoa; Nematoda; Chromadorea; Rhabditida; Rhabditidae.
GCCUCUGUGGCUUAGUGGUUAGCGCCCUUGUUUUGGAAAUUUCGGGCUUGGGUUCGAUUCCGGUUGGGGUCA